RNAcentral lists this ribosomal RNA (461 nucleotides) under uncultured bacterium. Its description in RNAcentral is "partial 16S ribosomal RNA". It matches the Rfam family "Bacterial small subunit ribosomal RNA", at positions 29 to 523 of the family's 1533-position model. The record is from RNAcentral.
AGUGAACGCUGGCGGCAGGCCUAACACAUGCAAGUCGAACGAGAAAGUAACUUCGGUUAUGAGUACAGUGGCAGACGGGUGAGGAACACGUCGGAACAUACCUUUUGGUUAGGGACAACAGCUGGAAACGGCUGCUAAUACCGGAUAAGCUCUACGGAGGAAAGAUUUAUUGCCAGAAGAUUGGCCCGCGUCUGAUUAGCUAGUUGGUGAGGUAAUGGCUCACCAAGGCGACGAUCAGUAGCUGGUUUGAGAGGAUGAUCAGCCGACACUGGGACUGAGACACGGCCCAGACUCCUACGGGAGGCAGCAGUGAGGAAUAUUGGACAAUGGAGGAAACUCUGAUCCAGCCAUGCCGCGUGAGUGACGAAGGCCUUCGGGUUGUAAAACUCUUUAAGUGGGGAAGAUAAUGACGGCACCCACAGAAUAAGCACCGGCUAACUUCGUGCCAGCAGCCGCCGUAA